RNAcentral lists this non-coding RNA (58 nucleotides) under Echinops telfairi (small Madagascar hedgehog). The record is from RNAcentral. RNAcentral also lists the same sequence under 9 other names. Lineage: Eukaryota; Metazoa; Chordata; Mammalia; Afrosoricida; Tenrecidae.
UGAGUGUGUGUGUGUGAGUGUGUGUCGCUCCGGGUCCACGCUCAUGCACACACCCACA